GUUAAGUGACUAAGCGUACACGGUGGAUGCCUGGGCAGUCAGAGGCGAUGAAGGACGUACUAACUUGCGAUAAGCGCAGAUAAGGCAGUAAGAGCCGUUUGAGUCUGCGAUUUCCGAAUGGGGAAACCCAACUGCAUAAGCAGUUACUGUUAACUGAAUACAUAGGUUAACAGAGCAAACCGGGGGAACUGAAACAUCUAAGUACCCCGAGGAGAAGAAAUCAACCGAGAUUCCGGUAGUAGCGGCGAGCGAACCUGGAUUAGCCCUUAAGCACUCGGUGAAGUAGGUGAACAAGCUGGAAAGCUUGGCGAUACAGGGUGAUAGCCCCGUAACCGACGCUUCAUCGAGCGUGAAAUCGAGUAGGACGGGACACGUGAUAUCCUGUCUGAAUAUGGGGGACCAUCCUCCAAGGCUAAAUACUCCUGACUGACCGAUAGUGAACCAGUACCGUGAGGGAAAGGCGAAAAGAACCCCUGUGAGGGGAGUGAAAUAGAACCUGAAACCGUGUACGUACAAGCAGUAGGAGCACCUUCGUGGUGUGACUGCGUACCUUUUGUAUAAUGGGUCAGCGACUUAUAUUCAGUGGCAAGGUUAACCGUAUAGGGGAGCCGUAGCGAAAGCGAGUCUUAACUGGGCGCUCAGUCUCUGGAUAUAGACCCGAAACCGGGUGAUCUAGCCAUGGGCAGGUUGAAGGUUGAGUAACAUCAACUGGAGGACCGAACCGACUAAUGUUGAAAAAUUAGCGGAUGACUUGUGGCUAGGGGUGAAAGGCCAAUCAAACUCGGAGAUAGCUGGUUCUCCCCGAAAGCUAUUUAGGUAGCGCCUCGGACGAAUACUACUGGGGGUAGAGCACUGUUAAGGCUAGGGGGUCAUCCCGACUUACCAACCCUUUGCAAACUCCGAAUACCAGUAAGUACUAUCCGGGAGACACACGGCGGGUGCUAACGUCCGUCGUGGAGAGGGAAACAACCCAGACCGCCAGCUAAGGUCCCAAAGUAUUGCUAAGUGGGAAACGAUGUGGGAAGGCUCAGACAGCUAGGAUGUUGGCUUAGAAGCAGCCAUCAUUUAAAGAAAGCGUAAUAGCUCACUAGUCGAGUCGGCCUGCGCGGAAGAUGUAACGGGGCUAAGCAAUACACCGAAGCUGCGGCAAUGUCUUUUAGACAUUGGGUAGGGGAGCGUUCUGUAAGCCGUUGAAGGUGAAUCGUAAGGUUUGCUGGAGGUAUCAGAAGUGCGAAUGCUGACAUGAGUAACGACAAAGGGGGUGAAAAACCUCCUCGCCGGAAGACCAAGGGUUCCUGUCCAACGUUAAUCGGGGCAGGGUGAGUCGACCCCUAAGGUGAGGCCGAAAGGCGUAAUCGAUGGGAAACGGGUUAAUAUUCCCGUACUUCUGACUAUUGCGAUGGGGGGACGGAGAAGGCUAGGUGGGCCAGGCGACGGUUGUCCUGGUUCAAGUGCGUAGGCUUGAGAGUUAGGUAAAUCCGGCUCUCUCUAAGGCUGAGACACGACGUCGAGCUACUACGGUAGUGAAGUCAUUGAUGCCAUGCUUCCAGGAAAAGCCUCUAAGCUUCAGAUAGUCAGGAAUCGUACCCCAAACCGACACAGGUGGUCGGGUAGAGAAUACCAAGGCGCUUGAGAGAACUCGGGUGAAGGAACUAGGCAAAAUGGUACCGUAACUUCGGGAGAAGGUACGCUCUUGAUGGUGAAGUCCCUCGCGGAUGGAGCUGACGAGAGUCGCAGAUACCAGGUGGCUGCAACUGUUUAUUAAAAACACAGCACUGUGCAAAAUCGCAAGAUGACGUAUACGGUGUGACGCCUGCCCGGUGCCGGAAGGUUAAUUGAUGGGGUUAGCGCAAGCGAAGCUCUUGAUCGAAGCCCCGGUAAACGGCGGCCGUAACUAUAACGGUCCUAAGGUAGCGAAAUUCCUUGUCGGGUAAGUUCCGACCUGCACGAAUGGCGUAAUGAUGGCCACGCUGUCUCCACCCGAGACUCAGUGAAAUUGAAAUCGCUGUGAAGAUGCAGUGUACCCGCGGCUAGACGGAAAGACCCCGUGAACCUUUACUACAGCUUGGCACUGAACAUUGAACCUACAUGUGUAGGAUAGGUGGGAGGCUAUGAAGACGUGACGCCAGUUGCGUUGGAGCCGUCCUUGAAAUACCACCCUUGUAUGUUUGAUGUUCUAACUUAGACCCAUUAUCUGGGUUGAGGACAGUGCCUGGUGGGUAGUUUGACUGGGGCGGUCUCCUCCCAAAGAGUAACGGAGGAGCACGAAGGUGGGCUAAUCACGGUUGGACAUCGUGAGGUUAGUGCAAUGGCAUAAGCCCGCUUAACUGCGAGAAUGACGGUUCGAGCAGGUGCGAAAGCAGGUCAUAGUGAUCCGGUGGUUCUGUAUGGAAGGGCCAUCGCUCAACGGAUAAAAGGUACUCCGGGGAUAACAGGCUGAUACCGCCCAAGAGUUCAUAUCGACGGCGGUGUUUGGCACCUCGAUGUCGGCUCAUCACAUCCUGGGGCUGAAGUCGGUCCCAAGGGUAUGGCUGUUCGCCAUUUAAAGUGGUACGCGAGCUGGGUUUAGAACGUCGUGAGACAGUUCGGUCCCUAUCUGCCGUGGGCGUUGGAAGAUUGAAGGGGGCUGCUCCUAGUACGAGAGGACCGGAGUGGACGAACCUCUGGUGUUCGGGUUGUGUCGCCAGACGCAUUGCCCGGUAGCUAAGUUCGGAAUUGAUAAGCGCUGAAAGCAUCUAAGCGCGAAGCGAGCCCUGAGAUGAGUCUUCCCUGACAGUUUAACUGUCCUAAAGGGUUGUUCGAGACUAGAACGUUGAUAGGCAGGGUGUGUAAGCGUUGUGAGGCGUUGAGCUAACCUGUACUAAUUGCCCGUGAGGCUUAACC
RNAcentral lists this ribosomal RNA (2883 nucleotides) under Vibrio cholerae. RNAcentral's name for it is "Bacterial large subunit ribosomal RNA". It matches the Rfam family "Bacterial large subunit ribosomal RNA". Lineage: Bacteria; Pseudomonadati; Pseudomonadota; Gammaproteobacteria; Vibrionales; Vibrionaceae. The record is from RNAcentral.